This 226-nucleotide ribosomal RNA is filed under the name uncultured bacterium. RNAcentral describes it as "partial 16S ribosomal RNA". It matches the Rfam family "Bacterial small subunit ribosomal RNA", at positions 95 to 334 of the family's 1533-position model. The record is from RNAcentral.
UAGGCGCACGGGUGAGUAACACGUGAAUUAUCUACCUCCGAGUGGGGGAAUAACUGAGAGAAAUCUUAGCUAAUACCGCAUAACACUUACGAGUCAAAGCAGCAAUGCGCUUGGAGAGGAGUUCGCGGCCGAUUAGUUAGUUGGCGGGGUAAUGGCCCACCAAGACGAUGAUCGGUAUCCGGCCUGAGAGGGCGCACGGACACACUGGAACUGAAACACGGUCCAG